Molecule: ribosomal RNA, 465 nt
Filed under: uncultured bacterium
Lineage: Bacteria
Description: partial 16S ribosomal RNA
Rfam family: Bacterial small subunit ribosomal RNA
Source: RNAcentral
GACGAACGCUGGCGGCGUGCUUAACACAUGCAAGUCGAACGGUAAGGCCCCUUCGGGGGUACACGAGUGGCGAACGGGUGAGUAACACGUGCGCAACUUGCCCUUGACUCUGGAAUAACAGUUGGAAACAGCUGCUAAUACUUGAUAUUCAUCGUCUCCUUCCUGGGGGGUGGUGGAAAGCUCCGGCGGUAGGGGAUGGGCUCGCGGCCUAUCAGCUUGUUGGUGAGGUAAUGGCUCACCAAGGCUUCGACGGGUAGCCGGCCUGAGAGGGUGACCGGCCACACUGGGACUGAGAUACGGCCCAGACUCCUACGGGAGGCAGCAGUGGGGAAUAUUGCACAAUGGGCGGAAGCCUGAUGCAGCAACGCCGCGUGCGGGAUGACGGCCUUCGGGUUGUAAACCGCUUUCAGUAGGGACGAAGGGUGACUGACGGUACCUACAGAAGAAGGACCGGCUAACUACGUG